UGAGCAAUCUGCCCUUCUCAUCGGAAUAAGCGUUGGAAACGACGUCUAAUGCCGAAUACGACCUCCCUUCGCAUGAUCGGAGGUGGAAAGCUCCGGCGGAGAAGGAUGAGCUCGCGGCCUAUCAGCUAGUUGGUGUGGGUAAUGGCCCACCAAGGCGACGACGGGUAGCCGG
RNAcentral lists this ribosomal RNA (172 nucleotides) under uncultured bacterium. Its description in RNAcentral is "partial 16S ribosomal RNA". It matches the Rfam family "Bacterial small subunit ribosomal RNA", at positions 118 to 290 of the family's 1533-position model. The record is from RNAcentral.